RNAcentral lists this ribosomal RNA (271 nucleotides) under uncultured archaeon. RNAcentral describes it as "partial 16S ribosomal RNA". It matches the Rfam family "Archaeal small subunit ribosomal RNA", at positions 477 to 747 of the family's 1478-position model. The record is from RNAcentral.
CAGCUCUCCGAGUGGUAGGGAUGAUUAUUGGGCUUAAAGCGUCCGUAGCGGGACGUGCACCUCCCUUGUGAAAUCACCGAGCUUAACUCGGUGGCGUGCAGGGGACACGACACGUCUUGGGAGUGGGAGGAGUCAGAGGUAUUCGAGGGGGACCGGUAAAAUGGUAUAAUCCCUUGAGGACCACCGAUGGCGAAGGCAUCUGACCAGAACACGUCCGACCGUGAGGGACGAAAGCCAGGGGAGCGAACCGGAUUAGAUACCCGAGUAGUCC